This is an RNA transcript of Ceratina calcarata, 13127 nucleotides long. It is a transcript of the gene named serine/threonine-protein kinase nemo, with no coding region annotated. The transcript has 11 exons. Lineage: Eukaryota; Metazoa; Arthropoda; Insecta; Hymenoptera; Apidae. The record is from RefSeq and is a predicted model, not a curated record.
AGCCUUGGCUGCGAGAAGACGUGCGCUUUGUUCGUACCGCGAGACACCCUCUAUCGCGGCUACGCGAGAGACUCCUUUUUCUCUUUCUCUCCCUCUCUCGCUCGUGUGUGCGCGCGCGUGUUUUCGUGUUUGUGUGUUCGUGCGUGGCUUGCUAUCUGUAACGAGAAGUGGCAGUGUUUCUGGCUCGGCCGCAGGACCCGGACGGUCAAAGGUACCACAUUGGUCGUUCGCGAGUUGCCGAAUGAUAACUCUGCCCCGUAGCCGGAAUCACUGUGCCGUGGCCAUCGAGGACUCGACCGAGCCUUUCAAGUGUUCUCUAAUUCCUUUCUCUGUUUCGCGCUACCGUGUUUUUUACGGGCAAGUACCGCCCCCUUUCCAUCUCCGUUACUCCACCGAUCGGGACGUUCUGUGGCCAGCUGAGCGUAACUGACGGGGAAGAGGGAGAACUGCUUGUGCGUGCGUGUGUCAAACAUAACCUAACGUCGUUACCGUGGAUGGUAGCUAGACUAAACCCGAAAAAAGAGCGUAGCGCGUUCCAAUUUCAACGCAGCUGCGUUCGUGACAUUCACGCAUCCGACAGCUCGUCUUCGUCGCGAACAGUUAUCGAGCGCUGAACGAAUUCGGAGGGCCAAAGGAAAACUUUCGCCCCGUUCUCGACGCUUCCAAAUAGAGCGUCCGACACGCAACGCCCCGAUUACCACCGACGCGACGUACGCGAAAGGACAUCGACUCGUUGUUUUCCUUCCGAAGGUUAUCCUUUGCAUAUUAUUGCCUCUGUCGUAGUCGCGAUAAAAUAACAUAAUCGCACCUUCUCUGCAUCGAGCGUGCAACCGUGAGUCCUCGUCGACCCCCGCGUUCUGCAAACUUUAACCCUUCCCGCCGUCCAUCCACAGACGCGCGAGAUUCGAAACGAAGGUGCAUCGUCGAAACGAAGGACGACAGAUCGCUCCAGGUAAAUCGAGAGAACUGCGUGUUCCCAAAAGAACGCUAUGGAAUUGAGAGCUAUUUCUGACAUCCAAUGACUUUUCAGUAAAUCGACGAUCUCAUCUCGGGACGUACGACACAUCCAUCGGUUAAUCCCUUUAACUCCAGUUCUCCAGUCCGAUCGUUGAAAACAAAAGAACGGUGUCUCUGUUCGGACAGAUGUUUCCGUCGAGAAGACAGUGAAACUGAGCAGUAACGAAGCUCGUGUCAGUGUCACGUGCGUGUCGGCACAAUUACAAGAUUCAAGAAAAAUAGAAGAUAGUGUUUCCGAGGGGAGGUGAAAGAGUGAACGGGUAGGGCAGGGAAACGAGCGAAAAGCUCUCGAAGAAGGAAGACAGGCGUAUCCCGGGUUCCCUAUAUCAGCGGGGGCCUUGGCGGUGGCGGUGGCGGUGAAUCGGUAAAGGGUUAAAGAGGGUGGCCCGCAGGGAAAGGAGAGGAGAGUUUUGAUGGCAGUAGUUGGGCCCAGCCGGCACUCGCGGGUGUCCAUGAGCGUGUCUAUGUCAUUGAUGCAGGGGGGCGGGGCGGGGGCUGGCGGCGGUGGCGGGACAGGGGGGGCCCACCCGGGACAAGCGGUCCUCGCGGCGGCGGCCGCGGCUGCGGCUGCGGCCCAGGCGCCCCCCACGUACUAUCACCCUGCCGCACCUGCACCCCCGCCACCGCCGCCAGCUCAGGAUCCUGUGCAGCCCGACAGACCCAUCGGAUAUGGUGCCUUCGGCGUCGUAUGGGCGGUGACGGAUCCGAGGGACGGUAGAAGAGUGGCCUUGAAGAAACUGCCGAACGUCUUUCAGAGCCUGGUGAGCAGUAAACGGGUCUUCAGGGAGCUGAAGAUGCUCUGCUUCUUCAAACACGAAAACGUCCUUUCAGCCCUGGACAUCCUUCAGCCACCGCAUCUGGAUUUCUUCCAAGAAAUAUACGUGAUCACGGAGCUGCUGCAAAGUGACCUGCAUAAGAUCAUCGUCAGUCCUCAGCAUCUCAGCCCCGACCACAUCAAGGUCUUCCUCUACCAGAUACUCAGAGGUCUCAAAUACCUACACUCUGCCAGAAUUCUACAUAGGGACAUUAAACCCGGAAAUCUUCUCGUGAACAGCAACUGCGUAUUAAAGAUCUGCGACUUCGGUUUGGCUCGGGUGGAAGAACCGGAUCAGAACAAGCACAUGACGCAGGAAGUGGUGACGCAGUAUUAUCGUGCGCCGGAAAUCCUGAUGGGUGCGCGACACUACACAGCCGCCGUGGACGUAUGGAGUGUCGGUUGCAUUUUCGGUGAACUGCUUCGUCGCAGGAUCCUUUUCCAGGCACAGAGUCCUGUGCAACAGCUGGAACUGAUCACGGAAUUGCUGGGCACGCCGACCCUCGAGGAUAUGAGGUACGCGUGCGAGGGUGCGAGAUCCCACAUGCUCAGGCGCGCGCCAAAGCCACCCUCGUUGACGGCCCUCUACACCCUCAGCAGCCAGGCGACGCACGAGGCUGUACAUUUGCUUUGCCAGAUGCUAGUCUUCGAUCCCGAUAAGAGGAUCACCGUGGUGGAUGCACUGGCGCAUCCUUACUUAGACGAGGGUAGGCUGAGAUAUCACUCGUGUAUGUGCACGUGUUGCUAUACGACCAGCGGCGGGAUGAGGCAGUACACGGGAGACUUCGAGCCGGCCACGUCGCAUCCGUUCGAUGAUCUAUGGGAACGGAAGCUGACCACCGUGCAACAGGUCAAAGAGGAAAUGCACAAAUUUAUAGCAGAACAACUGAAUACAUCGCGGGUGCCGCUUUGCAUAAACCCGCAGUCCGCGGCGUUCAAGAGUUUUGCAAGUUAGAGCAAGCCGAUCGCCGACCCAGCGCCCUUCGCCGCGUAUACGUACACGUUACUACUACCACUACCAGUACCGAAUCAGCUAUCUACUACCACUGUCAGCUACUAUCGACUACUACCGCUAUCGUCUACCACUACUACUACUACCGCUACUACCACUACUACUACCACUACUACUACUACUACCAAUCGUGUUACGUCUCCUCGUGAACGAACCGAACGAACAGAGAGUCAGCUCUAGCCGGCACGACCUCGCUCGCUGAGCUCCACGGUGGCUCAUCCCUCGGAAUUGCCACCCUCUCCUCAUCAAUGGGAAUAAAAAGAUCCUUCCUCCGAAAUCGCAAACACGGGCGCCGAAGUAAUCGCUACACGCGAAGAGAGAAGACGAAUUUCCGACAGCCUGAAGAUGGAAACGGGAGACGGGAACCGAGAGAGAUGGACAAAGGAACGUGGGGGACGAAAUAAGCGUGGAAGGGUACGUAGGCUGGAACGGGAAGAAACUGCGAGAUUCGGGGUGGACCGAGAAGAGGAAGAGGAAGAAGAAAAGCCAAGAGAGACAAUAGACUGCCGAGCACUAAAGCCUCAAUUUUCGACUAGCUGAGAUAUAUAUAUACAUAGUCACGUGUAUGUAUAUAAAUAUCUAUUAAGUAUAAAUAUAUUAUACGUACCGCAGUAUACAUACGUGAAAGAGGGAGCCUAGAGAGGAAGAAAGUAAAAUACACGCGCGAAAGCGUUUAUACAAAGUUUCAAAGUUAAACUAGGAGGUCCACCUAUCUACACCCAAAAACGGUUCUUUUUCUAUCCAUACCCAGAAAAUCCUUCUCUUCGUUUCCUCGUCCUUUGAAUUCUGUGUGUCCUCGAUAGAACAAUGUGUAUUGGAAUUAAAUCGUCCGAUGAAUCUAUCAUGUAUUUUAGGAAUCCUCGCGAUUCUUAUUCUAUCUUCAGUCACAGAAGGUGGUUUCUUUAAGAUGAGAGAUCAUCUUUUCACGUCAAAUAAGCUAGCAAUGGAAUAGCUUACAACCAAAAAUGGGAUCGUCAAAAUCGUGGGAACCGGACUCGGUUCUCGUUUGAAAUCCAUGGUUUCGAAGUCAAUCGUAGCUCGCUGAAUAAUUAGCGAUACAAUUAACUCAAAAACCGCUUUCGUCCUUCCUUCGCCAAGAAUCGCAUCAGCCAACAUGUCUCGCGAAGGAAUAAUCGACGCGCCUGAGAAUCGAUGGAAUAAGACGUAUAGACAGAUUGUAAUCGCGAUCGAUGGAAACGAUACAGGUUUUCAAUCUCCUGUCUUUAUUUCAUUUCGCCUUAUUUAUUUUUCUGCAUUUUUUGCUAUAUCCUCGUGAGGCUCUUUUUAUUUAUACGUCGUACGAUCGCCACUGUUUUUAUGCUGCUUCUUCUCGAUUUUUUUUUGAGGAGGUACAAUCGUGCACAAAAGCGGAAGGAAGAUAGCCUCGGUCGUUCUUUACGAAUGACCUGUUCGUGAUUAAUAAUUACGUCUAAUAUGUAUAUAACGUAUUUGUCAAUGGAACAACUUUUCUUCCGUCUUGAUACCGAUAAAGCGCGUCGCCACGCUAUUAUUUUUUUCAUUUUUCUUUUAGAUGCGUACGUUACACGUAUUAUAAUAGAAGCGUGUAAAAUAGUAAAAUGAACUGAAAGUAAAAGAUUAUUCGUAGAUGGAGCAACCGCGAGUACUCCGGUUUACCUUGUACCUGCUGAAGCGGAACAACGAGAGGAGUCGUUUUUCUCGAUCGGAGAAAGUAUCUUGGGAUCUCGAAUUUAACCGUGAUCAAUUGCAGAACCGUGCGCAUGGGAUAGGUUCCUCAUGAUGGAUCCGUAGAAUCGAUCACACGCACCUUUUAUUCCGAUCUAAACGGAUUUCGAACACGUUAAACCACCUUACAACGCGUUAGAGUUUGUAAUCACCGUGUCCCAUCGAUGAUACACGAUCGAACCUCGACGAAGAAAGAAAACAAGAAACAGCGAGCGCCGAAGAAAGAAGAAGCAGUAUAGAAAAACUGUAAGAGAAUUGAAAUUGAGGGUCGUGGAUAAUCGCAGACAAUUUUCAAAGUUCGGUGAAAAUAAUCCUGACUUCAGAAAGGAUGUAUAGUUAAAAUCUGGAAUCGUAUUUUUAAGGCUUUGAAGGAUAGAGAGGACAUUACUCUCAGUUUGGAGAGAAUUUGAAAAGCCAUGGAUUUUCGAUUGCGAGCUAUUCUAACACUAGUUCGUUUUGACGUGAAAAGAUGGUCUCCAAUAAAUGGUUUAGAUGGAUUAAUUCCAAUAAAUAUAUCCGAGGACCGGAGAGUUCGAAGGACGAGGAAAUGAAGGCGAGGAUUUUCCAGAUGUAAAUAGAAGAAGAAUCGUCCACGAGUAGUCUUUGGGUGUAGAUAGAUAGACUUCCUAGUUUAAUUUCAAAACUUUGUAUAAGCACUUUCAUAUGAGAUCUCGCUUUGGUUUCUCCUUUUUUUCUUUUUAUUUUUAGACUUGAACGAUCGCUCGAAUCACGGCCUCCGGAGUAUAUUUGCCGAAUCGCGUUUCAAUUAGCUAAUUAGGUCUCAUUAUUUUAUACGCGACAUCAUUCACGCGAACGAGAUUAUCGUCGUAAUCCUUUUAGAAAGAGAUAGAAUUAUCUCUCGACUCGGAUCGCCAAUCUCGUCUGUAUUACCAUGUAAUAUCUAACAAUACAUCACCGUUACGAGUCGAAUUCGGGCGCACUCUGAGGCCGGACGAUGACGAGCUCGCGGUGUAUUCAUAAAUUACGUUCUGAGUGUGAUUUUUAGUUUAAGGAAAAACUUAGGUAGCCAGUAGAAUUUUCACGUGAAUUAUCUUGUAGGAUAUCUUUAGGUAGCGAUUUAGCAUAGUAGCAACAAAAAAAGAAUGAAAAAAAUGAAACCUCGUUUUUCAUCGAGAGACGAAAGCAACGCAUGUGUUCUCUUUUUUAAGCAGACUCAACUAAUUUCUACUACGCAACUAUCGUGACGAGAUUUACUUUCUUAGACCGAUCCGCUAUCAGAUUUGCCUCUCUACCAAUCAUCCCUUUCGUCGGAUCGGUCUAGGAAAGUAAAUCUCGUCAAGAACGAUCGAUUGUCUUUCAAAACCCGGGAAAAAAGGUGUGUACGCUCGAGCGAGGACUUCGAAGGGAGUAACAAAUUCGCACUCGAUUAACACUGUCAGUUGAAACUAAAUUAAAAAUAUUGCAGUAAUAGGAAAAUAACUUGCAUUUGCAAUGCACGUGCAAUUUUAAAUCAUUUAAAAUGAAUUAAUUAGAAUGGUAAACAUUCACUGCUUAUGCGAUGUUAUCAUAAAUCAACUUUGGUUUAUGAAAAUGUAAUACGUAGUUCAAUAAAUAUAGACAAUUCGUUCCGAUCAUACAAGUAGCUAAUGAAUUACUUUAGAUCACACUUCUUGUUGAUUCAUUUUGCGUAAAGAAGAUGUGUGGAAGAGUUGAGUUUGUUUUCUUACUGCCGCAAUAUUUUCAAAUUGAAAUUUGCCAGAUGCGUAUAACCUAUACAUUGCGACACGGUAGCCUUCUUUCGUCGAAGUCUUCAUUUUGUAUAAUUGACAACCGCCGAUCUGAUCGUGUUUCGGUUUAAUUAACCGAAGCGCCUGUUCGCGUCAUUCUUGUAAAUAUAGGUCAGUCACACCAUGUACAUACAACAAUUACGAUAGUAGCUCAUUCGAAUUUUUCAAAUCAUUCGUAAACGAAAAUCACGAGCGAUCGUGGCCUCGAUUAUACGAACAUUUUCGUAUCGCAAACACAUAAAUGGACUACCUUGAUCAUUGAGAUCAUCUCACCGCUUUCAUGUAACACUGUAUUCAUCCACUUUCACGGGAAUAAUAUUGAUAAUGUGUGCAAUUCGUUGAUUUUAAGGUGAUCUGUGGUAUAAUAAGUAUGAUGAAUUUAUCUAAUGAAUGAAUUAAUUAAUAAUCAAGCAAGCAUGCAAGGAAUAUAAAAAGAAUAUUUGGACGGAAUACGAGCGUUUCUUAAACUUUGGCAAAUGUUCAUCCGUUUUAAAUCGUUGAUCACAUUUUAUAAAUACGAAGCUGCUUUAAUUAUUUGUACGGGACGUUUCGCUGCUUUACGAAUUCGCGAAGCUUCUCACUUUUAAAAUUCGAACUUCAUUUAAAUGAGUUUUUAAAUGUAAAUGAAAACCUCCGAAAUGGUUUCCUCCUAGUUUUAUCGCGGACUUUCAUGGCCCUACUAUUCUUUAACACCGUUUCACAAGACUUCGGUCCAUCCGGAAGCUGAUGUACUCAGCGAAUCGAAGUUGGCAGUUUUCUUGGAAAGUGCUAAAUUGAUUGAGAGCAAAAGGAAGGCCGGAAGGAAUUCUUUAUCUAUUUGAGAGGUAGAACGCCACGGUCCCGUCUAAGUUUUGCAAUAGUCCGAAGUUGUAAUUUAAUUGAUCAUCGGCGGAAAAGCGCGGAGGAAGGUAAAAGGCAGAACGUAGAAAGCGAAACGAAAGUGUACGUAUGCAUGCGAGAAAAGAACAAGAAUGGAAGACGGAAGAGACACGUAUGUGUGGCUCGCGUGAAAUUGAUGUUUCCUAUUAAACGAGAAAUAAAAAAAACAGAUGUGUAGAUGUUUACUCAACAAGAUUUGUAAAUAUGUAGCUCACUGUAGCUGGUCAGUUGGGCAUUUAAAUUGUAAACGUACGUUUAAUUAUUUUACCUAAUGUAAAAUAAUGAGAGUACAAGUAGUCUCCAUCUUGUCGCUUUUAAUUAGGUACCUAUGUAAAUUAGAUAAUGACUAGUUAAAAGCGACAAGAUGGAGGUUCCUUGUAUUCUUGUAUACAACUCUAGCGAAUAUGCCUUCAUUAUGGAAAGUGGCUGGCAGAUGAUGCACCAAACAAUAAAGAUAACUGCAGACAUGAAAAAAAAGUAAAAGAGAAAUAACGUAAACUCUUGUCUCCGAUUUGGCACACCAUUUUUUCUUUAAUUCCUACCUCAACCCACUUUUUAUUUUUCUCCGUUUCGUCUUUCUUAUUUUCAUCCCUGAUCGGACCAUUUCUUUCAGGUUUUUAGUCCAGCAUUACGAGUUCAAUUCAGCUUUGCUUUUUCAGUCACUUUUGUUUAUCCUCGGAGAGACAGAGCCAAUUGGUGGAAAAAUUGAAUCGAGAACCAUGAAACUGACAAGAGAUAACGCGAUCACAGUGAGCCACACGAAGUUUUAGAAAAUAUUUUAUUCUGAAAGAGAAAUGAGAAUUGCGAAUUAGACAUCAUGUGAAAUUUCAAUUACUCAAGAUCACUAUGAAAGAAAUGCAAAGGGGGAAUUGUAAAAAACUAAUGAAAACCGAAGACCUGUCUUUUCUUUAUUAUUCAACAAUAAAAUAGGAGGCUUCCUCAUCUGUCCUGAUAUAAAUAUUUUCUCGAGGACAUGAUUCCGAACAAUCUACCGCACUUACUCUCUGAGACAUACGCAAAAAUAUAUUCGAUAGUUCAUUAAUUUCAAAGUGAUUGAAAAUCUUUGCAAUAGUUAUAAAAUAAUUGGCUGGCGUGUCUCUCUGAGAAUCUUACACGUGCGCAGAUCAGAUUAUUAGUCGAACGACGAGGCAAGAGGGUCGUAGAUUUUUGCAUCCCUUUAAUCCUAAACGAAUCCAGAGAAUUUCUAGGCCAAGCACUUUUCGACACUUCUGCGUGUAUAAUGGACGGACAUAAAGCACGUUUUGAGAAGGGAGAAUAGUUUAUUCUGUCGCUUCGUUCACAUACGAAGAUUGGAAACGUGACGAUCUGUCGUUAGUAACUAAGAGGCCUUAACAAUAUUGCGUUUACGAUGUAACAACACAGAUACACGAAUACACAUGUUGGAUCAACUUAAGCAUAGAAUAGAACACACAUGCAGGAGAUAGUAUUGAGCACGAUCCAAGAAAUUAAUCAAUGUAAUUAAAGGAACUGGAGGGCCCCGCGACUAUGCAUAAGUAGAAUCUACUUUCUAUGUACAAUCGUCACUUUCCUGUAUAAAUAUACAUAUUACGCAAUAUGCAUGUAUAUAUACAAUUUGGGAAUUCAAAGGGAUUAUGAUAAAAUCGCACUGUGUAAAAUAUAGAGAUCGUGAAGUAUUUAGUUUUGGUGUUAAUUGAUGUGUAAUGCACUAUCAUUACCUUGAAAGCGUAGUCGCAGGGUCCUGAAAAAAAUGGUUUCAAAAUGCGGAUCGCUUUGUUUCAUUCUGCACUGAUUUAAGGACGAGAUAUUAAAGAAGCGUUUACUAGUUUGAAAGCGAAUGCAAACGACUUAUCAUUGUACGUUGGUUACUUAAAAAAUAUUUCCAAAGUUGAAAAUGCUUUUCUAUCUUUUGUCUUAAAACUGUUACUAACGUAAGUGAAGUGAAUUAAAAUGAAAGAUCGUUCAAUUUUUGGGGCACUUCUCAAAUUCGAAAUUUAGUAAAUAAAAAGACAAGGAAGCAGAAUGGAGCAAAGCGAACUGAUUUGUACAGACGCCGGAUCAGAUGUGAAAUACGGGUUCUGAAGCUGAAUACACGGGAUAAAUGUGUAUAUCAUUUCGCACGUGCCACGUUUACAGCGUAUCGAAGUUCUUCCCUGGGAAUACAGUUUCUUCGCAUCAGCACUGCCAAUUUUAUCAUUGUUAGAAUAAAAUGAAUAAGUCGUCAUCAUCGACCCUAUUCGCUUUGCUCGUGUUUAUUCCAUUUUGGUCUCGUUAAUAAAAUCGAAGACGCCAGAAGGAUUUCUCGAAAAGCGUACUUUCGAUUCUCUAAAUGCCCGUUUCUGAUAAUGAUUUUUAGUUAUCAGUAUACGCGAAUUUCUGUGCAAGAUAAAUUUACAAAAUAAAAUCUAUAUAGAAAUUUAUUUUAAGACUAUUAAUAUGCAUUUUAUUUUUUGUCCUAUGUCUUGAACAACUAUAUGCAUUUUGUAUAGUUUCAUUAGAUACAUUUCUUUUUAUGAAUGUAUAAAAACCGCAAUGUAAUUGUCAGUUAUUAUCGAUGUACUCCAAUCUAAUUUAAGAAAGUCGAAUGCUUUUCGAAGAAUCUGCCUAAAGUUUCCAAUAGUUUCAAAUUUUUAUAAUAGGGCAGGUGGGCAGAUUGAAAGAGAAAGUAGUUCGUCACGUGCGUGUAAUAUCUGUAAAAAUGAAGAUAUUGUAGCAAGUCGAUCGACAAAUAGGAGUCAUCGUCGAUGAUCGUUGUAUAUAACUCGACACUCUUUUAGUACUUCUAAGCAUGUAAAUAUGAACGUUUUAACCUCGAGAGAUUCGCGUACCUUGAAAGUAGUUCGAAGCCUUUUCACAAUUAGCGAUAAAGAAAUAAAUGAUGAUAACACGUCGAUGUUCCCUUGGCACCACUUGGGGAAUUACAUCAAAAGAGAGAGAGAAAUAUACGUGUAUAUAAGGAAGAAGCGAGUAGACACAAACAGAGAAGAGAACCUUAAAUACGUUGUUGUACAUAGUAAAAAUUAUAAAAACUGAACGAAGAAGUCUUUAAGGUUCUAAUGUUUCAACCAUGUAAAAAUUGUUUAAAAACUAACAAUCAUAUAAAUGUUAAAAUGAACAUCGAGCUGUAAAAAUUUCGCUCGUUUAUAAGAAUUUUCCAACCUACCAUUUUUCUAAUGACCUAUUUCCUUAAUUAAACAGUUAAAUCCUGAAACAUAGGUUCAAAAAUAUUUUAUUUACUGUUAAAGCAACUUCAGUUGCAUUUGAAAUUGUUUGACAAAACAAAUACUAAUUCCUAAUCGUUUAACUGUUUUCCAAAUUUUCUUUCCAAACAAAUUGUUUCCAGAUUUCUCUUUUAUCAUAACUUAAUUUUAUCCCUGCCUCUCUCUCUCUCUCUUUUUCUACACACGUGCGUAUACAUACGUAUUAACAUAUAACACCGAUAAAUGUAAAAUAAACUGAGAAAUAAUAAUACUUUAGAGAUUAGGCUCAACGAUCCGGCACUUUAAAAAGAUAAUUUCGUACGUACGAACGGGCUACUUUUCAAUCAUCAACUAUCUUAGUUGCACUUUCGCCGACACUUCGCAAGUCCGGUGUGAAUGGAAGUGUCAAUGAAACGAUCAUCGCUAAAGUAAACGAUUAUCCACGAUUCGAAAGUAACUCUGACGUACGUAUCGAGCGAGGAUAUAUUUUUUUUAACAAAAUACCUCGAUGGCAUGACAAUUUUACUCGUAUAAUUCGUGGCUGUUAAACUCUUUUCUCACAAUUCAUUCAUUGUAUAUGAAAUAUACAUAUAUAUAUAUAGCAAGUCUCGAAUUCUUUAGAAUGUUCGUCGAGAAAAGGGAAACGGACCGAGACGACCGAGUUUUAACGCAGAAUAAAGUACAAGUGCUCGAUCGUUGAUCGAAUUAUCGUCUAUUUAUUGUUCUGCGUGUCCCUCGUUUUAGAUAUCUCGUAAAUUGUAAAUAUAUCAGUCGGCCGAUGGAGUCCUCGCGUUUAAAAAUGACGAAAAAGAAAAGCUCCUCUGUGAUAGUACCAAAUAGAUAGUCCCAACCAGAACGAUGUUCCGAGUUUAGCCACGAAAUUAAAGUAUAAACAGACUCGUUUAUAAUUGAUAACAAAAUCACAAUUGUACUGCAAGUUUACCAAAUCUUUACAUAAUUAAAAGCUGAAAUUUAAAUAGAUUUACAUAAUAAUGUACAUAUUUUAACACUUACUUUACUUUGAAUAUUUAUUCGCAAUUAAAUAAAUUCCAUGCGUCUUUUGUGUAUAAAAAAAAGUGCAAACUAUUCACGAUUAUUAGGAAAAACCACGUUGGGACUCCUUAAGGCAAAUCUUGACCUCUUCCUGCUUGUUAACCCUCGAUUAAGGCAAUUAACAGCGGAACGUGUACAUAUGCAGCGAAACCUUUUCAACGUCACGUGUACGCCAAGUGAUAAACGUGUGAACGUCUUUUAGAAAACGUUUUUAUUUACAAAACGUUCCAUUCAUCUUAUCACCGUUUACCAUUCGAAAGCAUUCUACUUGGAACAUUUUUCUGUUAAAUUGUUAAUAGCGAAACGUAUCUGAAUUUGAUUGAUUAUAAGUGAAUCAAAUAUUCUGCCCUAAUGCACGACAUGUGUAACGAAUUUUCCUGUGUAAACGCAGUUACAUGUAGACGUAGGGUCGUUUCCGUAGCGAUGCGCACCACAGGAAAUUCACGGCCAAAUAGGGAUACUCGUAUGCCCUUUACACAUACACGUGGACACACACGAGACACUUGUAAAAUUUCAUAGAGUCACACGGGUCACGCAGUCGUGACCCUUCUGUCAAAAGAAAAUAGAUAGAUAGAUAUUAAUAAAAAUUGUAAAGGUUCAUAGACAGUUUUUACCAGAACAAAACUCUUCAGACUGUAAAAAUUCUUCCCUGAAGUAAUUCGUGUAAUUAUUUAAUUAAUUAGCGGUGGAGUUUCAGUUCGUUUCUAUCUCGCGUGCGGAUGACAUUUAACGUACGUUUCCUCUUUCUCUUCCUGACAACUUCCUCGAAUAUUUCGCGAAACGACGCCGAUGGAAAUCGACCGAGAGCUCGAGGAGAAUUUGCCAAGAAAUCGUCGACCGCCCCGCGAAACCUGUACGUAUUAUCUAUUUAAAAAAAAAAAACGUUCAUUCGUCAAGAAGAAGACCGACACCGUGUAUAAUGUAUAUGAUAGAUACUAUGUCCCAACGAUAGCUGGUAAGAGUUAAUUAAUAUUUGUAGGUAAAGAUAUAGGAAUAAACGAAGUAGAAAGGCUGAUCUCCGCCGUGUAAUUUUUGUAUUUUUGAGAAAAGAGAGGCUGGCCGGCGACGAUUUAAAUAUUGUACGGUGACGAGACACAUUGUAAAACAGUACAACUUAUUAUUAUUAACAAUUAAAUAGUAGACGACAGCGAUUGUAACUACGAACUAAUCAUUGUAAUAUAAAAUUCGCGGCUGGGCGACGAGAGAAUAUCCCGCGGACGUUGAUCACGGCGAUUUCCUGGCGAACUCGAUUCUCGGUGGACGAAUUUAAGAGAGACAAAUAUUUUUGAAAACUUUUCCGGGAAGAUAUUUUACGCGAAAUUCAGAAAUACGGGUGACGAAAGAAGCAAAGAUUAGACGAGGUGGUAGGAGGCGGUAACGAAAAUUGAAUUUUCGACGGUUCGAUACGAGAUGAAAGCGUUUUCGGUCGAAUUUCCAUCUGCGUCGUCGCCAAAGCGUCGGGGGCUUCGUUCUCUUCGAUAUGUAUGUAACUAGAAAACGCGUGAUAAGACUCGAGGCCGUCGUGACGAAGACGGCGGCGUGUACUUAAUAAUUGUAAAUAAGGGAGGAACUGUAAAGAACCGCGGAGGGAGUAACCACUAAGUAACAUUAUGUGUCUACGAUGCCUAUUGUCUGUUUAAUCUAAUUGUAAGCAGCGACUCCGUUACCGAUCACUAUUAGAGCUAAUAAUAAUAAUAAUAAUUAAACAACAGUUUAAUCUA